CCGGGGGCGCGCGCCCCGCUGCCUGCUGGGAGUUGGAGUUCGGGGCGAGGCCGAGCGCCGCCGCUCCACGCUCGGGACACUGUCGGGACACGCUCUCGGCCUCUGCCCGCGCAGUGCUUGGGGAGCAGAGGAGGGGAGCUGCGGCGAGAACUGAAGGUGUUGCUGCUGCUCAAGCUUUGGCUACGCUUAAAUAAGUUGGAAUGCUGGACAGUCCAACAACUAAAGCUAAGAACAGAAUCCAAAGAAUUGUGAUUCCAUGGUCACAAUUCACCCUGUGAUGCUGACAGGUGGAAAAGGAGUGGAAGGUGCAUGGGUCAAUUAACUUGAAUGGCCUAUGUAAAUCAGCGGCCACUGAUCUCCUGAAGGCUUCAACAGGUCUGUGCUGGAGAGUGGGAGAAAGGUCCCUGCUGCUUGCUGUAUCUUCAGCAGGCAGAGAGCUCUGACCUUGGCCGGAUGGGCUGUUGCUGUAUCUCUUGGAUGCUGUGCAGGACAGAAUCACGCAGCCAAACCUCAGGUCCACCUUCUCCCUGACCCUCUACAUUGAUCGUGUGGCCCAGCAGAUCCUGAAGCCAGAGCGUGAGUGGAUUCUCAGAUUUCUUGGAGAAGGGCUGCGUGACAAACAUUGCUAU
Melozone crissalis (California towhee) is the source of this 629-nucleotide long non-coding RNA. RefSeq lists it as uncharacterized. The transcript has 6 exons. The record is from RefSeq and is a predicted model, not a curated record. NCBI's taxonomy places the organism in Eukaryota, Metazoa, Chordata, Aves, Passeriformes, Passerellidae.